Molecule: unclassified non-coding RNA, 3618 nt
Filed under: Hevea brasiliensis (rubber tree)
Lineage: Eukaryota; Viridiplantae; Streptophyta; Magnoliopsida; Malpighiales; Euphorbiaceae
Source: RNAcentral
GGCCACUGGAGAAGAGACUUUAGGUGUCUUGCCGGAUUAUUUACAGAAGCUGACUUUUUAUUAUUCAUCAAGUUAGCUGUGUCAAAUUCACUUGCUUCACUCAAGCAUGUACUGUAAUUGUCACUUGUUAGCUCGCAACUGGCAUCAGAUGCAUUUUCGAUACCGGUGUACAAGAAUAUCUCUGCAUCAGGAAUUCUGAAAGAAGUGCCAGGACUGCAUCCUAUACCAUGCCCUCUCAAUUGGAAAGCAAUAGCACUUCUAGCCACAUUAUCCUGACAAUUACAUAUCCCUCCAGCUGAAAUCAACCGCUUGAUGAUAAUUUCAGAGGAGGCUUUUCUUGGCUGUUGGCUGAGGAGAUCUAGUGGAGUCAUGCCAUUAACAUCACAAAUAUUUAAAUCAACGGAUGGUACCGUCAUGAGAAGUUCCACCAGAUUAGAUUGAAUAUUUUCAAUUACAGCCAUGUGAAGGGCCGUUCUUCCAUCAUUGUUCUUGACAUUGAUGAUGCCUUGGAUGUUUACAAUCUUACCACUCACUAACUGCUUCACGAGCUCUAUCUGCCUAUCUACUCUACGAAAGCCUGGGCUUCGAAAACCUGACACUGCCAUGUGGAGAAAAGUAUCUCCAUAUUUGUUUGUUAUGGAGAUUAAUGAAGGAGAUGCAAGAAUCAGAACCUCUGCAACAGCUAAGUAACCCCUGUAAGCAGCUAUAUGUAAUGCCGUGUUUCCUUGAUAAUCAAUGGAGGUGAUAAGUCCAAAGGAUGCCAUUAUAUCCUUAACUACCUGCACAAGCAAGAUGAUAAACUCAGUCAACUUGCCAUUCCCCAGAAUAUCCAAGAAGAGUCUUAAGGGGACCAUGAGGAACAAGUUAAUAUUUAUCUCCCCAUAAGCACAGAUAAAAAAGGAGAGACAUCUAAUCAACAUGCUUGAGAAAGGCUCUAGAUAGGGAAGACUACUAAGAGUUCAUACAACAUGAUCAAUUAGUCCAUAGUCAUAAUGUAUUAUAUGCUAUCCAUCUAACAGAGAAGUAAGAAUUCCAAUGGCUCUAUUCUUAAGAGAAUGUGAAAACAGGAAACUCUUGCAGUAAGAAACGCCUGACAGAAAUUAAGUUGAGACUCAGGAAAAAUUUUGAAGACCUGUCAAUGGAUCUGGACAUUCAAGGGCUAAUACCAUUUAUGACCAGAAGAGGCCGACACUCCUUUCACAAGUUUGAGUUUUUAGUUCAACAUCAAUACAGGAUUUUUGUUUGCUAGAAUUAGCCUUUAAACCACCAGAAUGUUAACGAGAUGCUGCAAGAUAAAGUCACAUUUCUACUUCCAAAGAUAGCAGUACAAAGACAUAAUGCAAAUUUGGAUGACAAUGGGUUGUCACAUUUUCCCUCAUUUUUGAGGAACCAGUAAUGUACUUGGUUCAUAAGUAUGCAGGAAGAUUAAGUUAAUUUUAGCAUGCAACAAUACCAUCAAUCAGCAUUCAUCAGAGUUAAAUUCUAAAUUAGUAGUUGGUUGUCUUUAGCACUCAGAGUGUCAGCAUGUCCAAGUCAUACCCACAAAAAUUUGUUUCUUCAUACCUUUCAACAAGUUUCAGAUUUCCUAUCUGACAUGAACACCUUCAACUCAAAUGGACAAGCAAACCUUCAUGUUAAUCUAUUCUCAGGACAGAAGUGGAUAAAAUGUAGCAAAUUAAGUCUCAGGUUAUGUAAGACAUGGAAUGGAUCAAUGGAAUGGGGGACCCUAUCGUUUAGCUUAUCCAACAUAAUCUAGAAAUCUAAAAUUUAUCACCAGCCUUAGACGCUUAAGCUUCGAGAAAUUGGCCAACAACUGAAACAAUUACCGCCUGAACGAUAUAGUCGCAAACUAAUACUCAUUCCAAGUAAGAAUGAAGUAAUGGUAACUAGUAAACUAAAAUGAUCAAGCAGGAUACAAAAUAUCAGUGGAUAAAUUAAGCAUCUGAUAAGCAUGAAAUGAAUAGUCCCUGCUCCCUACCUCAACCUGCCCUCUGCCUGAGGCAGUAUGCAAGACAGUGGACCCUUGAGCAUCUCUAUAAACCAAGACACCAGAGCAAUCUCCAAGAAGCUCCUUCAAAAUCUUCAAAUUUCCACCUCUAGCCACAGCAUGAACAGCUCUAUUCAUCAUCUCCUUUCUAAAAUCUGCAUAGUUCUCACCCAGCUGCUCCUCCAACUCUUCACCAGAGUUCAGGCCACAACUCCGCGAAAUUGCGAAAUUAAGGAGGAGCUUAAAAACAUCAGAAUUUUUGCUCCUGGCUGCAGCAUAAAGUAUGUCAGUAACACCAUAUUCUCCCUCCCCAAAAACAAGAAGAGGGUCUCUCUCCAACAAUUCCUUGACAAAGCUCACAUCACCGGCUGAGGCAGCAGUGUACAGGAGCCAACCACCAUAGCCAGCUCUAAUGAGAGUGUUAUGACCUCUCCUUGUUUCACAUUCUAGGAGUAGCUUCUUGGCCACCAAAGCACGACAGCUGGCAAUACCAUUGAACUGUUCCUCGUCAUCCCAGACGGUUUCAAGGCGGCGAAUUCGGCGAAGGGAGGUGAGUUUGAUUAGGAGAUUGGUGUCAAGGUAGAGAAGCUCCCUCACCAAGUCAUAGUGACCAUUGGCUGCUGCAAAAUCAAUCGGUGAUGCAUACCACCAUUGGUCUCCGGUGCUCUCCCACCUAAGAGGGAAGUAUGAAGAUGGCAUUUUAGCCUAGAAUCAGUAACAAAUUUAUUAGCUAUUAGUAGAGUUUACUGAAGACCCAGUUCAGGUUUUAAACUUUUAAACCAACAAAAGACGCACAAUUCAAGAAUGCAAGAGGAGUUGUGGAAAUGAGAGCAACUGUAAAAGUUAAAAGGCCAUUAUCCAGUUACUGAUUCUUUUCUCUAAAAUAAAGCAAAAAUAAAGAAUCUUGGAAUCGAGGAAUAAGAAUCAGCUAAUUAGCAGGACUUAGAAGAGGAAGGAUGGGUUGGGGUUGACAGAGAGAGGAACCAUUGGAUUAUAAUACGAGAAAACAGAGAAAACCCAUUAUUGUGAUCCCAAUGAACAGUUGAUAGAGGGAAAAGGAGAAAGAAACGAAACAAAAAGAGACAUUAUUGCUCAAGCGAGACUGAAAUACAAAAAGAAGAAAAAGCAGAGCCUUUGAGGUAAAAUUUGAGAAGACAAAAGAGGAGGGGAAGAUUGCUCAGUUAAAGGAAGGAAGAAAGACACCAACCUUUGAACAGCGUGGUUGCAGAAGAUAACAAAACAAGAAAGAAAGGACCACUUGAUUAUGGAUUUGUGGUCAAUCUCUUACGGUCGGUGGAGAAAAAAAAACACUAAAAACUAAAAAAGUAAGCACUAAAAGGGCCUAGAUUCCUUUAUCUCGUGAGAGAGAAAGCAAUCAUGCAGGUGAUGACUGAACAUGAAAGGGUCCUAUGCGUUUGCUUUCUUCACAGGGAAAUGACAUUCGACAAAAAAUUACAGGAAAAUGAGAAAUGUGACAAUCAGGACGAGUAGAAGCGGUUGUAACUUGACUCGAUGGAACCCGAUCCUUUUAUGUAUAAGUCAGGAUAGGCACGGCUCAAGAUGAUUUCGCUGGCCUCUACAUUUGAUCUAUUAAGCAAAAGACCGGUUUGAGAUAUACUCGCUGGCAGAUG